This 4136-nucleotide long non-coding RNA is filed under the name Bemisia tabaci. RNAcentral describes it as "lncRNA ENSSSA3NGG003383". Lineage: Eukaryota; Metazoa; Arthropoda; Insecta; Hemiptera; Aleyrodidae. The record is from RNAcentral.
AAAGAUUAUACAACAUUGGUUAAAUAGAGGAAAUCCAGAGUUGCCAAAUUUCUCGACCUCCCCCUAACUCUAAAUUGUGAGUUCAGAUAUUCUCUAGGGUGAGUUAUUUGCGCCGCCUAGCGCAUAAAACCAGGAUUUCUUCAUUCAUUACAACUAAAAAAUAUUUAAAACAUUUUCAGCCGGGUUUACCUUGGUUAGCCUUGUUAGUAGCCUUGUACAGUACAAAACAUUAGAAAAUAAUUAUAAAUCAAUAGCUUAGUAGGUCAAUAGUGAAGUACUUCAAUAGAUUAGCAUUAGUAUAAGUAAAUUGCGAAAAACCUUGCACUUUGCACUUUAACUCAGCAUGAUAAAUUUUCGCAUGAUCUGAGACAUUUUUUAUGAAAAUUUUUCUAAGAUUUCAUCUUUCUUGAGAUUUAUAAUCCACAUAGAUUUUCUUUUUUUAAAUUUAAAUCUUACAUGAAUUACGGUUUUUUUAAUUUCGUUGUUGAAUAUUUCUGAAUUUUGGUGUUUAAGAUCUUCUACUAUGUCAGCCCCCCAAGAUAAAACGUAUGAUUUAUCGUAUGAUUGAUUAGUAUGAUUGAUUAGCGCCACUUGACGCAUAAACCAAACACCUGUUUUCCAUUCAUAAGGACAAUAAUUCAGUACUUCAAACCCUAAGUGGGUACAGUAGUUAAGUGGUUCAGCACCCUUAUCUCACCCCCCCCCCCCAAUAAGCCUUGUAAAUAACCUUGCACUUCAGUCCCCCCCCCAUCUAACCCAAACUAAGAAAAAUAACCCAACAUUGUAAUAGUAGCAAUAGUCUGCAGUAGAAAAUAAUGUAGGUAGUAUGUACAUAAGUAAAAUAGCCAUAAAUCACUCAGCCACUCAAAUCAAGAAAGCGGGCAAUAGCAGAACUCAACGCAGUCGGACUCUCCGAAGGACCCACCUCAGAGACGCGUUGAAAACAAGACCCUCUUGCGAGCGACAACACUGUGAUCUACGUCACGGGGACCUAACCCUACAACACCUCCAUAGCAACCAAACUUGCAGAGGCAUCCCAACGCGCACGGAGUUCAAAUACUCAACCACGAUCACAAUCGCGUGCAACCACAAUUUUUCCCACAACAGUAGGCAUCAACGCCAGGUCACCAGAUUGAAUCAAAAAUCUGUGACUUAAGGUGUAUUAAAGUCAGAUUUCUCCACCACAAUUGGCAGCCCCGCAGACACAGCAAAUCAAUCUCCGCGGCACUGACCCCAUGUGGAAACCUGACAGUCACGAAAACGCUGACAUCAAGAUUCUCAGCCACAAGUGGCAACUUCGCCAAUCUCCUGACGUACGCAAGGAACUGGCAGUGCGUGGAAAUCCAACGGUGCGAUCAUGGGUGCAGAAAACUGAAACUUUUCUUCAUAAGCCACAGUUGACAACAACUUCGGAUUACCAAAACGAUCUCCACACAUAAUGGGAGACCUACAGAGGAGGAACAAGCAUUUUUUUUAUCGGGCACAAUCUUCUAUAUUAAGCCCACCUUUUUUUAUUAAUGUUACUUGCGAUUACACAGCAAAAAUCGCAGACUGAGGUCGGGGAGAUCGCGAACAAACUUAUUUUCUGAGUAAAUCCAUUAUAUCACUGCUCAGGCCUUUAUUUUCCGAAAAAAAGCUAAAAGUCAAACCGAUCUCAGGACCUCCGGGAAACCAUGCCACCCUCGCACCACGACGACGGACAUCCACACCAACCCGUCAAGCACCUAAUGACCCAAAUAGCCAGCUGCCACUUGCCCGAGUGUUCCCGAUAUCGCUCAAAAACGCAAGACAACACGGUCAACACGCUCUCCUCACGGCUCCAGACAAGUCCACAAGACUGCAAACGGCCGCCAGACGCACGGGGCCCAGGGCAGACGCCCCCCCCGCCGACAGCCAUAAGCCACCAGGGGUUCCAGGGCGGACGCCCCAUCCUCUAGUCUCUGCUUCCAGGGGAACCCAGGGCGAACGCCCCCUCCCCCCCCCCCCCCGAUGACGCAAUUUGAGUGGUAUGAGUAAAGAACACAACCUAAAGUACAUACAUACUUAGGUAUAGAAUCACUUAUAAUUUUUUUUUACAGUAGGAUUCUUGUACUUCCUCAACGUAGAUCCUACACAAAAUUCACGCGACUAUCAAACAAGUACGCUCACCUGUUCGGGACACCCGAAACGAGGCAAGAAGCUCAUCGCUCCUCGGCCCCACGCCGAGAGUCAGUGACCUUCGCGCCAGCUGAUCGACUCGUAUGACGCCGGCGACAAACUCCGAGUGCUCCCCAGCGUCAUAUUUCACUCGCCUCCUUUCACUGUACAGUUAAAUCUUUGUAACUAGAUCCAGCGUUUAGAUUUAAGAAUGACAGUAGCAGGUUACUGCUUCCAAAAGGGCGGGCACAAGGAAUGAUAACAAAUUUUUAUUCUCAACCACAACCCCCGAGAUUCGAAACCCUCGGACCCCAGUAUUGACCCACUGCUUCCAAAACGCUCGACCUCCCAGUGACCCACUGCGGAUAAUGAGGUCAUUAUCCUGUGUCGUUGUAGGGGGAGUAUAAUGGAAUAUUGAAGUUACGGUGGUUUUGGAAACAGCGGGCCAAUAUUGCGCCGCGAGACCGGUGGAUCCGCGAGGUUCUCAUGACACAGCAUGUCAUAUCCGGCAGUAACACGGCUUAGUGACAUCCAGACACAGCCUUGCCAGAUCGCCGGGGGAAUCCCUCAAUUGCGCAUACCCCAGUCUUGAGGGCUGAGCCCCGGAAUCCACGGAACGGCGACAGCUAAUCCUCGCGCUUUCCGAGAUUUCAGAGUCCGAGCGGAUGUGACAUGCAUGGUCAGGGGUUUUUGGCGAACUAUCCGUGGGAACCAGUGGCCUAGGGACCCAUCGGCUGGCCUGCUGAAGCCUCCUGAAUUCAGUCGUCUUGCUAUCUCUGCCUGCGUCUCCUCGCGGAUCCUCCGGCUAGCGUCCCUACCCUUAGUCGAGUCCUCGAGUAUCCCUCGGUUGAAAGUUCGGUCUAGCGGUUCGUCCCCCACCCUUCUUUUGGCCCAGCGGCUUUCCACUUUUACCCCGAGCCCUUGGCUCCUCGAAUCGUUCCGUCCCGCGUCCCUACCCGGUGAUUGAGCUUUCCGAGCUCCCCCCCUUCUACGCACUCAAAAAAAAGGAAAUGUCGAAGUAGCAUUAACCGCCAUGAUGAAAUGACAUGACAGAAAUUAUGUUGAUAUAAGCUGCACUCCCCGUAACCCAACAUGGUUUGACUUAAUUCUACAUGUGCCGUCAUGUUGAAUCAACAUGACCGAGAAUGCUGCUACCUGUCAUGUUGGAUCAACAUGACGGUAAUGUUUGAGUAACAUUACUCAUGUUAACUCAACAAAAUGCAUGUAAAUUUAGCACAAUGUCAGCCUGAAACUGUAUUACACAUGUUGUUUUAACAUUCCUUUGGUUGAAAGAACAUUAACACUUUGUUUAAUUAGCAUAUGCAGUGUUAUAUUACCAUCUACUUUCAUAUUGUUGGAGGAGUACCGUAGUGCUCUUGAAACAUCAUGUAUGUAUGUACUUGAAAAGAGGGAUGGCGUCUCUCCUCCUCUCAUUCCUCGUCCUCCUCCUCCUCCUCCUCCUCCUUCGCUCCCUCCUCCUCCGCUCCCUCCUCCUCCGCUCCCUCCUCCUACGCUCCCUCCUCCUACGCUCCCUCCUCCCCCUGCCCUCCCUCCGUCCCUCCCCCUGCCCUCCCUCCCCUGCCCUUCCACCCUCCCCCUGCCCUCCCUCCCUCCCCCUUCCCAUCAUCUGGGUACUUAAAAAGACGGGUGGCGCGGUAAUAUAAGCUUUGCGUAUGUUAAUCUCCUCCCCCUCCCCUCCUCCCCUCCUGACUUUUCGGGAGAUUUCUAGAAGUCAUGGGCCGAUUCCUUAGGAGAAUUUGAAAGUUUGCGGUCGCUGGCUGCAGGCUGCUGACCGUGCGGUCCGUGCCCAAUCAUUCAUUGAGAGAGAAGAUGAAAUUUCCAUCGAUGAGAUUUUGAGCGUUCUGGAGCCACGGCCAAAUGUACAGUACCGAACCGUUAACAUAAGAUAUGUUGCGGAAGCUUCAUGAGUUCAGUUCAUAAGCUAGACAUCUAAGCCGCACCUGACUCGAUAGUCUUGACACUAAGACAAGAUUGUCUUC